ACGAACGCUGGCGGCGUGCUUAACACAUGCAAGUCGAACGCUGAAGCUCAGCUUUUGUUGGGUGGAUGAGUGGCGAACGGGUGAGUAACACGUGAGUAACCUGCCUCCUUCUUUGGGAUAACGCCCGGAAACGGGUGCUAAUACUGGAUAUUCACUGGUCUUCGCAUGGGGGUUGGUGGAAAGGGUUUUUCUGGUGGGGGAUGGGCUCGCGGCCUAUCAGCUUGUUGGUGGGGUGAUGGCCUACCAAGGCUUUGACGGGUAGCCGGCCUGAGAGGGUGACCGGUCACAUUGGGACUGAGAUACGGCCCAGACUCGUACGGGAGGCAGCAGUGGGGAAUAUUGCACAAUGGGCGCAAGCCUGAUGCAGCGACGCCGCGUGAGGGAUGGAGGCCUUCGGGUUGUGAACCUCUUUCGCUCAUGGUCAAGCCGCAACAAUGGUUGUGGUGAGGGUAGUGGGUAAAGAAGCGCCGGCUAACUACGUG
Molecule: ribosomal RNA, 482 nt
Filed under: uncultured bacterium
Lineage: Bacteria
Description: partial 16S ribosomal RNA
Rfam family: Bacterial small subunit ribosomal RNA
Source: RNAcentral